Molecule: ribosomal RNA, 238 nt
Filed under: uncultured bacterium
Lineage: Bacteria
Description: partial 16S ribosomal RNA
Rfam family: Bacterial small subunit ribosomal RNA
Source: RNAcentral
CGGCGGACGGGUGAGUAACGCGUGGGUAACCUGCCUCAUACAGGGGGAUAACAGUCAGAAAUGACUGCUAAUACCGCAUAAGACCACGGUACCGCAUGGUACAGUGGUAAAAACUCCGGUGGUAUGAGAUGGACCCGCGUCUGAUUAGGUAGUUGGUGGGGUAACGGCCUACCAAGCCGACGAUCAGUAGCCGACCUGAGAGGGUGACCGGCCACAUUGGGACUGAGACACGGCCCAA